GCAUAUCAAUAAGCGGAGGAAAAGAAACCAACAGGGAUUGCCCCAGUAACGGCGAGUGAAGCGGCAACAGCUCAAAUUUGAAAUCUGGCCCUUGUGGUCCGAGUUGUAAUUUGUAGAGGAUGCUUUUGGUGCGGUGCCUUCCGAGUUCCCUGGAACGGGACGCCAUAGAGGGUGAGAGCCCCGUCUGGUUGGACACCAAGCCUCUGUAAAGCUCCUUCGACGAGUCGAGUAGUUUGGGAAUGCUGCUCUAAAUGGGAGGUAUAUGUCUUCUAAAGCUAAAUAUUGGCCAGAGACCGAUAGCGCACAAGUAGAGUGAUCGAAAGAUGAAAAGCACUUUGAAAAGAGGGUUAAAUAGUACGUGAAAUUGUUGAAAGGGAAGCGUUUGUGACCAGACUUGGGCUUGGUUAAUCAUCCGGCGUUCUCGCCGGUGCACUUUGCCAGCCCAGGCCAGCAUCAGUUCGUCGCGGGGGAUAAAGGUAGCGGGAAUGUGGCUCCUCGGAGUGUUAUAGCCCGUUGCGUAAUACCCUGUGGUGGACUGAGGUUCGCGCAUCUGCAAGGAUGCUGGCGUAAUGGUCAUCAACGACCCGUCUUGAAACACGGACCAAGGAGUCGUCUUCGUAUGCGAGUGUUCGGGUGUCAAACCCCUACGCGUAAUGAAAGUGAACGCAGGUGAGAGCUUCGGCGCAUCAUCGACCGAUCCUGAUGUUCUCGGAUGGAUUUGAGUAAGAGCAUACGGGGCCGGACCCGAAAGAAGGUGAACUAUGCCUGUAUAGGGUGAAGCCAGAGGAAACUCUGGUGGAGGCUCGCAGCGGUUCUGACGUGCAAAUCGAUCGUCAAAUAUGGGCAUGGGGGCGAAAGACUAAUCGAACCUUCUAGUAGCUGGUUUCCGCCGA
RNAcentral lists this ribosomal RNA (893 nucleotides) under Thyronectria virens. RNAcentral describes it as "LSU rRNA". It matches the Rfam family "Eukaryotic large subunit ribosomal RNA", at positions 38 to 964 of the family's 3401-position model. The record is from RNAcentral. Lineage: Eukaryota; Fungi; Ascomycota; Sordariomycetes; Hypocreales; Nectriaceae.